Molecule: ribosomal RNA, 1425 nt
Filed under: uncultured organism
Description: 16S ribosomal RNA
Rfam family: Bacterial small subunit ribosomal RNA
Source: RNAcentral
GCUUAACACAUGCAAGUCGAGGGGCAGCAUGGUCUUUGCUUGCUAAGGCCGAUGGCGACCGGCGCACGGGUGAGUAACACGUAUCCAACCUGCCGUCUACUCUUGGACAGCCUUCUGAAAGGAAGAUUAAUACAAGAUGGCAUCAUGAGUCCGCAUGUUCACAUGAUUAAAGGUAUUCCGGUAGACGAUGGGGAUGCGUUCCAUUAGAUAGUAGGCGGGGUAACGGCCCACCUAGUCUUCGAUGGAUAGGGGUUCUGAGAGGAAGGUCCCCCACAUUGGAACUGAGACACGGUCCAAACUCCUACGGGAGGCAGCAGUGAGGAAUAUUGGUCAAUGGGCGAGAGCCUGAACCAGCCAAGUAGCGUGAAGGAUGACUGCCCUAUGGGUUGUAAACUUCUUUUAUAAAGGAAUAAAGUCGGGUAUGGAUACCCGUUUGCAUGUACUUUAUGAAUAAGGAUCGGCUAACUCCGUGCCAGCAGCCGCGGUAAUACGGAGGAUCCGAGCGUUAUCCGGAUUUAUUGGGUUUAAAGGGAGCGUAGAUGGAUGUUUAAGUCAGUUGUGAAAGUUUGCGGCUCAACCGUAAAAUUGCAGUUGAUACUGGAUAUCUUGAGUGCAGUUGAGGCAGGCGGAAUUCGUGGUGUAGCGGUGAAAUGCUUAGAUAUCACGAAGAACUCCGAUUGCGAAGGCAGCCUGCUAAGCUGCAACUGACAUUGAGGCUCGAAAGUGUGGGUAUCAAACAGGAUUAGAUACCCUGGUAGUCCACACGGUAAACGAUGAAUACUCGCUGUUUGCGAUAUACUGCAAGCGGCCAAGCGAAAGCGUUAAGUAUUCCACCUGGGGAGUACGCCGGCAACGGUGAAACUCAAAGGAAUUGACGGGGGCCCGCACAAGCGGAGGAACAUGUGGUUUAAUUCGAUGAUACGCGAGGAACCUUACCCGGGCUUAAAUUGCAGAUGAAUUACGGUGAAAGCCGUAAGCCGCAAGGCAUCUGUGAAGGCGCUGCAUGGUUGUCGUCAGCUCGUGCCGUGAGGUGUCGGCUUAAGUGCCAUAACGAGCGCAACCCUUGUUGUCAGUUACUAACAGGUUCCGCUGAGGACUCUGACAAGACUGCCAUCGUAAGAUGUGAGGAAGGUGGGGAUGACGUCAAAUCAGCACGGCCCUUACGUCCGGGGCUACACACGUGUUACAAUGGGGGGUACAGAGGGCCGCUACCACGCGAGUGGAUGCCAAUCCCCAAAACCUCUCUCAGUUCGGACUGGAGUCUGCAACCCGACUCCACGAAGCUGGAUUCGCUAGUAAUCGCGCAUCAGCCACGGCGCGGUGAAUACGUUCCCGGGCCUUGUACACACCGCCCGUCAAGCCAUGGGAGCCGGGGGUACCUGAAGUGCGUAAUCGCGAGGAGCGCCCUAGGGUAAAACUGGUGAC